RNAcentral lists this ribosomal RNA (960 nucleotides) under uncultured fungus. RNAcentral's name for it is "eukaryotic LSU rRNA". The stretch from base 502 to 960 matches the Rfam family "Eukaryotic large subunit ribosomal RNA", at positions 1 to 455 of the family's 3401-position model. Lineage: Eukaryota; Fungi. The record is from RNAcentral.
CCCUUUCUGGAUAUACUUUAUAAACCCAUUCUGAGUACCUUACCCGUUGCUUCCGUGUGGCAGUGACUUCGGUCCCUCCAACGAUGACGUCAGUCAUUCGAGGAGAGUACUCACGGGAGGUAUACAUUAAACUCUUGCAUUACCAUGUCAUCUGUCUGAUUAUGUUUAUAACAAAUUAUUAAAACUUUCAACAACGGAUCUCUUGGUUCUCGCAUCGAUGAAGAACGCAGCGAAAUGCGAUAAGUAGUGUGAAUUGCAGAAUUCAGUGAAUCAUCGAAUCUUUGAACGCACAUUGCGCCUCCUGGUAUUCCGGGAGGCAUGCCUGUUCGAGCGUCAUUAAAAACCACUCAAGCUCUUUUGCUUGGUUAUGGAAGAGGAGUAUGUUAGACAUUCUCCCUUUCGAAAUUCAAAGGCGGAAAGCCCCAUGUGCCCCGGCGUAGUAAGUUUUCUUUCGCUUGGAACAUGAGGUGAUCCUGCCACAAACCCCCAAUUUUUCUAGGUUGACCUCGGAUCAGGUAGGGAUACCCGCUGAACUUAAGCAUAUCAAUAAGCGGAGGAAAAGAAACCAACAGGGAUUGCCUUAGUAACUGCGAGUGAAGCGGCAAAAGCUCAAAUUUGAAAUCUGGCGUCUUCGGCGUCCGAGUUGUAAUUUGGAGGGGCAUCUUCGGAGGUGGCGCCGUCCUAAGUUCCUUGGAACAGGACGUCAUAGAGGGUGAGAAUCCCGUGCCUGGAUGGCUGUCCAUCUCCAUGUGAAGUGUCUCCGACGAGUCGAGUUGUUUGGGAAUGCAGCUCAAAAUGGGUGGUAAAAUUUCAUCUAAAGCUAAAUAUUGGCGAGAGACCGAUAGCGCACAAGUAGAGUGAUCGAAAGAUGAAAAGCACUUUGAAAAGAGAGUUAAAAAGUACGUGAAAUUGUUGAAAGGGAAGCGCUUGAGAUCGGACUCAAUCUUUGGUGAUCAGCCG